Molecule: long non-coding RNA, 1121 nt
Filed under: Pogona vitticeps (central bearded dragon)
Lineage: Eukaryota; Metazoa; Chordata; Lepidosauria; Squamata; Agamidae
Description: lncRNA (ENSPVIG00000022081.1)
Source: RNAcentral
CACAAAACUUUAUAGUAUUCUUUCAUCAUUCCCAAAUAAGAAAGGAUUUGUGGUUUUGUUUUAGCUGAUGUGUUUUUGUAUUUUCAAGGCUCAGCAUCAGAAUCGAGCAACAGAAGGAACUGAAGAGUACUUCCUGGCAUUUUUCUGGUGUGCUGGAAACUGUGACUGAUGCCAACAUGCAAUAAACUACAUCUACAGACAGAAAUGUUGAGAAGAUCAGCACCGUAACCACAAAACACAAUCAUUACUGCUCACUGAAAAUACCCCCAACAACACAUCUCCCUCUGUCAACUGUGGUGUAGCAGGUCUGCUCAGUAACACUUACUGAAGGCAUCACUUUAACAGAAAUCUGUGUUGGAUCCCAUGACAAAGCCAUCCUUCAACUACAAACAAGCAAACAAACAAAUGACUCCAAAAUGCCUGGCCAUGUGAUUCCAUCUUGAGAGAACUGAUUUUCUACAUCUCAUCUGAAUGGAAGUACAAUUUCAACCUAGUUCCUCUUUCUUUAUUUGUGUCAGAAGCACCACAGUACAAUUAAGAAAUAGAUCAGAUAAUUUUCAUUCAACAACAGGCAACAUCAUUUGGGGCAGCUAACAUCAAACCUUCCACAGUGCAUAUCGAGGGGCAUAAGAACAUUGCCACAGCUGCGAACCAUCCUGUUCCUCUACACUUUUGUAAAGGACCACAUCAGUGAAAAAACUUGUUUUCUUAGGUUCAGUUUGGUUCUGUGAACUCCACUGCAUUGUCUACUGUCAAGCAAUCCAGUUUUUGGUGUGACUGGGGCCUAGACUUUCCUGGGCAUCCAUUUUAAGAGGUGGGAAAGUUCUUGGUGCUGACAUUCUCUGUUGUUUCUUCAAGAUUCACAGAUGUUCUGAAAAAACUUUUCCAUGAUUUUAAUCUGGGAGGGAUUCAAUGGUAGCCAAAGGACAGAUGCACAUUUGAUUUAAGUCUCUUUUAGAGAUAUGAGUGAGAAGUAAUGUGCUAAACCUUGAAGAAGGGCAAAGACUUAGUGAUUCAUGGCUUCCUAUAAUUGACCUCAUUAGGACAGCAGUAAGUUGAUUAUGCUAUGCUGUGUGAUGCAAUCACAUUGAGUGUAUAUUGCCGUAUGCAAUGCGCUUAGU